Molecule: ribosomal RNA, 1470 nt
Filed under: metagenome
Description: bacterial SSU rRNA
Rfam family: Bacterial small subunit ribosomal RNA
Source: RNAcentral
AGAGUUUGAUCCUGGCUCAGGACGAACGCUGGCGGCACGCUUAACACAUGCAAGUCGAACGAGAGAAGAGGAGCUUGCUUUUCUGAUCUAGUGGCGGACGGGUGAGUAACACGUGAGCAAUCUGCCUUUCAGAGGGGGAUACCGAUUGGAAACGAUCGUUAAUACCGCAUAACAUAAUUGAACCGCAUGAUUUGAUUAUCAAAGAUUUAUCGCUGAAAGAUGAGCUCGCGUCUGAUUAGCUAGUUGGUAAGGUAACGGCUUACCAAGGCGACGAUCAGUAGCCGGACUGAGAGGUUGAUCGGCCACAUUGGGACUGAGACACGGCCCAGACUCCUACGGGAGGCAGCAGUGGGGAAUAUUGCACAAUGGAGGAAACUCUGAUGCAGCGAUGCCGCGUGAGGGAGGAAGGUUUUAGGAUUGUAAACCUCUGUCUUCAGGGACGAAAAAAGACGGUACCUGAGGAGGAAGCUCCAGCUAACUACGUGCCAGCAGCCGCGGUAAUACGUAGGGAGCGAGCGUUGUCCGGAAUUACUGGGUGUAAAGGGAGCGUAGGCGGGAUCGCAAGUCAGAUGUGAAAACUAUGGGCUUAACCCAUAAACUGCAUUUGAAACUGUGGUUCUUGAGUGAAGUAGAGGUAAGCGGAAUUCCUAGUGUAGCGGUGAAAUGCGUAGAUAUUAGGAGGAACAUCAGUGGCGAAGGCGGCUUACUGGGCUUUAACUGACGCUGAGGCUCGAAAGCGUGGGGAGCAAACAGGAUUAGAUACCCUGGUAGUCCACGCCGUAAACGAUGAUUACUAGGUGUGGGGGGACUGACCCCUUCCGUGCCGCAGCAAACGCAAUAAGUAAUCCACCUGGGGAGUACGACCGCAAGGUUGAAACUCAAAGGAAUUGACGGGGGCCCGCACAAGCAGUGGAGUAUGUGGAUUAAUUCGAAGCAACGCGAAGAACCUUACCAGGUCUUGACAUCGUAUGCAUAGCUCAGAGAUGAGUGAAAUCUCUUCGGAGACAUAUAGACAGGUGGUGCAUGGUUGUCGUCAGCUCGUGUCGUGAGAUGUUGGGUUAAGUCCCGCAACGAGCGCAACCCUUACUGUUAGUUGCUACGCAAGAGCACUCUAGCAGGACUGCCGUUGACAAAACGGAGGAAGGUGGGGAUGACGUCAAAUCAUCAUGCCCCUUAUGACCUGGGCCUCACACGUACUACAAUGGCUGUCAACAGAGGGAAGCAAAGCCGCGAGGUGGAGCGAACCCCUAAAAGCAGUCUUAGUUCGGAUUGUAGGCUGCAACCCGCCUACAUGAAGUCGGAAUUGCUAGUAAUCGCAGAUCAGCAUGCUGCGGUGAAUACGUUCCCGGGCCUUGUACACACCGCCCGUCACGCCAUGGGAGUCGGUAACACCCGAAGCCUGUAGUCUAACCGCAAGGAGGACGCAGUCGAAGGUGGGAUUGAUGACUGGGGUGAAGUCGUAACAAGGUA